RNAcentral lists this ribosomal RNA (468 nucleotides) under uncultured bacterium. RNAcentral's name for it is "partial 16S ribosomal RNA". It matches the Rfam family "Bacterial small subunit ribosomal RNA", at positions 28 to 507 of the family's 1533-position model. The record is from RNAcentral.
GACGAACGCUGGCGGCGUGCUUAACACAUGCAAGUCGAACGGAAAGGCCCUGCUUUUGUGGGGUGCUCGAGUGGCGAACGGGUGAGUAACCCGUGAGUAACCUGCCCUUGACUUUGGGAUAACUUCAGGAAACUGGGGCUAAUACCGGAUAGGAGCUCCUGCUGUAUGGUGGGGGUUGGUAAGUUUCGGCGGUUGGGGAUGGACUCGCGGCCUAUCAGCUUGUUGGUUGGGUAGUGGCUUACCAAGGCUUUGACGGGUAGCCGGCCUGAGAGGGUCACCGGACACAUUGGGACUGAGAUACGGCCCAGACUCCUACGGGAGGCAGCAGUGGAGUAUAGUGCACUAUGGGCGGAAGCCUGAUGCAGCAACGCCGCGUGCGGGGUGACAGCCAUCGGGUUGUAUACCACAUUCGCCUGUGACGAAGCGUUAGUGACGGUAAUGGGUAAAGAAGCACCGGCUAACUACGUG